Molecule: ribosomal RNA, 480 nt
Filed under: Triticum aestivum (bread wheat)
Lineage: Eukaryota; Viridiplantae; Streptophyta; Magnoliopsida; Poales; Poaceae
Description: partial small subunit ribosomal RNA
Source: RNAcentral
AAUCUUAAAGGCUGGAAAGAAAAUAUGUUAUCUGUUGGGGCCAAGGAGACUUUGUUGAAAGUUAGGGCACAGGGAAUUCUCUCAUAUGCAAUGUUAGUGUUUAAUUUUCCUUUGAGAAUUUGCAAAGCUAUUAUUGAUGAGAUUGCAACCUUCUGGUGGGGAGAUGAUGAAGCUAAGAAAAAGAUGCAUUGGAUGGCGUGGUGGAAGAUGUGCAUUCCAAAGGGGAUAGGAGGUAUGGGCUUUAGGGACCUUCAUAGAUUUAAUCUUGCUAUGUUAGCAAAGCAAUGUUGGUGACUAAUCCAGAAUUCAGAAUCUUUUUGUGCCCGCGUUGUCAGUGCAAAAUACUUCCCAGAUGGUGAUAUUCUAAAUGCAUGGUCAAAGGGUUGUUCUUAUUAUAGAUGGCAAAUCUUUGUGCAGGCAUCCAAACCUUUAAACGGGGGUGUAUUUGGAGAGUGGGAACAGGUCGGGAUUAAGAAUUAA